RNAcentral lists this ribosomal RNA (253 nucleotides) under uncultured bacterium. RNAcentral's name for it is "partial 16S ribosomal RNA". It matches the Rfam family "Bacterial small subunit ribosomal RNA", at positions 524 to 776 of the family's 1533-position model. The record is from RNAcentral.
UACGGAGGUGGCAAGCGUUACUCGGAUUUACUGGGUGUAAAGGGCACGUAGGCGGUUCGGUAAGCCCUGCCUUAAAUCCUCGCGCUCAACGCGAGAUUGUGGUGGGGGACUGCCGGGCUUGAGAGUGGGAGAGGCGAGCGGAAUUCCCGGUGUAAGGGUGACAUCUGUAGAUAUCGGGAGGAACACCAGUGGCGAAAGCGGUUCGCUGGCCCAUUUCUGACGCUGAGGUGCGAAAGCUAGGGGAGCAAACAGG